RNAcentral lists this non-coding RNA (24 nucleotides) under Arabidopsis thaliana (thale cress). The record is from RNAcentral. Lineage: Eukaryota; Viridiplantae; Streptophyta; Magnoliopsida; Brassicales; Brassicaceae.
UACUGAGUCCGCCUUAUGACAGUC